Molecule: ribosomal RNA, 206 nt
Filed under: uncultured bacterium
Lineage: Bacteria
Description: partial 16S ribosomal RNA
Rfam family: Bacterial small subunit ribosomal RNA
Source: RNAcentral
CAUGUAGGCGGAUUAAUAAGUUUGAAGUGAAAUCCUAUAGCUUAACUAUAGAACUGCUUUGAAAACUGUUAAUCUAGAAUGUGGGAGAGGUAGAUGGAAUUUCUGGUGUGGGGGUAAAUCCGUAGAGAUCAGAAGGAAUACCGAUUGCGAAGGCGAUCUACUGGAACAUUAUUGACGCUGAGAUGCGAAAGCGUGGGGAGCAAACA